GGACCAAGGAGUCUAGCAUGUGCGCGAGUCAUUGGGACAAUUACGAAACCUAUAGGCGCAAUGAAAGUAAAGGCUCGCCUAGCGCGGGCCGAGGGAGGAUGGGUGAUUCCGUAAGGGACGCCCCGCACUCCCAGGGCGUCUCAUUCUCAUCGCGAGAAGAGGCGCACCAAGAGCGUACACGCUGGGACCCGAAAGAUGGUGAACUAUGCCUGGUCAGGACGAAGUCAGGGGAAACCCUGAUGGAGGUCCGUAGCGAUUCUGACGUGCAAAUCGAUCGUCGGAACUGGGUAUAGGGGCGAAAGACUAAUCGAACCAUCUAGUAGCUGGUUCCCUCCGAAGUUUCCCUCAGGAUAGCUGGCGCUCGCUUCUGGCGAGUCUCAUUCGGUAAAGCGAAUGAUUAGAGGCAUUGGGGUCGAAACGGCCUCAACCUAUUCUCAAACUUUAAAUGGGUGAGAUCUCCGGCUUGCUUGAACUGUGAAGCCGCGAGAUAUCGGAUCAGAGUGCCAAGUGGGCCACUUUUGGUAAGCAGAACUGGCGCUGUGGGAUGAACCAAACGCCGAGUUAAAGCGCCUAAAUCGACGCUUAUGGGAUACCAUGAAAGGCGUUGGUAACUUAAGACAGCAGGACGGUGGCCAUGGAAGUCGGA
RNAcentral lists this ribosomal RNA (646 nucleotides) under Myodermum sp. DA-2012. RNAcentral describes it as "LSU rRNA". It matches the Rfam family "Eukaryotic large subunit ribosomal RNA", at positions 663 to 1265 of the family's 3401-position model. Lineage: Eukaryota; Metazoa; Arthropoda; Insecta; Coleoptera; Scarabaeidae. The record is from RNAcentral.